RNAcentral lists this transfer RNA (91 nucleotides) under compost metagenome. RNAcentral describes it as "tRNA-Thr". The record is from RNAcentral.
GCUCGAUCUGGUUGACGGCCGGCACGACGCCCGUCUCGUCGAUCACGCGCUGGAGGUGCGGCCGGUGGAAGUUCGAGACCCCGAUCGAGCG